RNAcentral lists this ribosomal RNA (532 nucleotides) under uncultured bacterium. Its description in RNAcentral is "bacterial SSU rRNA". It matches the Rfam family "Bacterial small subunit ribosomal RNA", at positions 44 to 570 of the family's 1533-position model. The record is from RNAcentral.
GUGCCUAACACAUGCAAGUCGAACGAGAAAGUGGAGCUUGCUUCACAAGUAAAGUGGCAAACGGGUGAGUAACACGUGAACAACCUACCCUCGCAGUGGGGAAUAACACCUGCGAAAGCGGUGCUAAUACCGCAUAAUAUCUCUGAAUCGCAUGGUUUUGAGAUCAAAAGCUUCGGUUGCUUGAGGAGGGGUUCGCGCCUGAUUAGCUUGUUGGUGAGGUGACGGCUCACCAAGGCUGCGAUCAGUAGCCGGCCUGAGAGGGUGAACGGCCACACUGGAACUGAGACACGGUCCAGACUCCUACAGGAGGCAGCAGUGGGGAAUUUUGCGCAAUGGGCGAAAGCCUGACGCAGCAACGCCGCGUGGAGGAUGAAGGCCCUCGGGUCGUAAACUCCUGUCAGUGGGGAACGAAUGCUUCGCAAGAAGUUUGACUGUACCCGCUGAGGAAGCCACAGGCUAACUCCGUUGCCAGCAGCCGCGGCUAAUACGGAGGUGGCAAGCGUUGUUCGGAAUUACUGGGCGUUAAGGGCGC